Non-coding RNA from Biomphalaria glabrata, 57 nucleotides. NCBI's taxonomy places the organism in Eukaryota, Metazoa, Mollusca, Gastropoda, Planorbidae. The record is from Rfam.
UGGCUGAGCGGUAAAGUGCUUGGCUUCCAAACCAGAGUUCUUGGGUUCGAAUCCUAG